GAUGAACGCUGGCGGCGUGCUUAACACAUGCAAGUCGAACGAAGCACUUUAUUUGAUUUCCUUCGGGACUGAUUAUUUUGUGACUGAGUGGCGGACGGGUGAGUAACGCGUGGGUAACCUGCCUUGUACAGGGGGAUAACAGUUGGAAACGGCUGCUAAUACCGCAUAAGCGCACAGCAUCGCAUGAUGCAGUGUGAAAAACUCCGGUGGUAUAAGAUGGACCCGCGUUGGAUUAGCUAGUUGGUGAGGUAACGGCCCACCAAGGCGACGAUCCAUAGCCGACCUGAGAGGGUGACCGGCCACAUUGGGACUGAGACACGGCCCAAACUCCUACGGGAGGCAGCAGUGGGGAAUAUUGCACAAUGGGCGAAAGCCUGAUGCAGCGACGCCGCGUGAGCGAAGAAGUAUUUCGGUAUGUAAAGCU
This 424-nucleotide ribosomal RNA is filed under the name uncultured bacterium. RNAcentral describes it as "bacterial SSU rRNA". It matches the Rfam family "Bacterial small subunit ribosomal RNA", at positions 28 to 432 of the family's 1533-position model. The record is from RNAcentral.